CCACAUGGAAGGUAUGUCUCAGA
RNAcentral lists this non-coding RNA (23 nucleotides) under Cricetulus griseus (Chinese hamster). The record is from RNAcentral. Lineage: Eukaryota; Metazoa; Chordata; Mammalia; Rodentia; Cricetidae.